UGUAAGGUACCGAACUUCUGUUGUAAGGUACCGAACUUCUAAAAUUAUGAAGUUACGGUGGGAUGUAGUAUACCGAAAUUUAAUAUAAAAUUAAGUGUAAAUAAAAAUAGUAUGAGAUACUAUUUUUAUUGGAUUUAAGGGUGUAAAGUAUAAGUUGGAAAUGACCUGUGCUAAAAUCGAAGCGAAAAUAAAAGAUUUAGAAUUUUUUUUGAAAAGCUGGGCUGAUAAAUUAGCAGAAAAUGCACAGUGUUAAAAAAUUAUGAAAACUGGAGGAUAUGUCAGAAUUAUUUUUAUGAGGCUAGAUUUAAAGUUUCAUACCAUUCUGACGCCCGAAAAGUGAAAAAUAAAAUCCGACUGCU
Molecule: long non-coding RNA, 359 nt
Filed under: Ananas comosus (pineapple)
Lineage: Eukaryota; Viridiplantae; Streptophyta; Magnoliopsida; Poales; Bromeliaceae
Description: long non-coding RNA (ACOM_LNC023412)
Source: RNAcentral